AGAGUUUGAUCCUGGCUCAGAAUCAACGCUGGCGGCGUGCCUAACACAUGCAAGUCGCACGAGAAAGGGGAGCAAUCCCUGAGUACAGUGGCGCACGGGUGAGUAACACGUGAAUCAUCUACCUCCGAGUGGGGAAUAACCUAGGGAAACCUGGGCUAAUACCGCAUAACACUUACGAGUCAAAGCAGCAAUGCGCUUGGAGAGGAGUUCGCGGCAGAUUAGUUAGUUGGCGGGGUAAUGGCCCACCAAGACGAUGAUCUGUAUCCGGCCUGAGAGGGCGCACGGACACACUGGAACUGAAACACGGUCCAGACUCCUACGGGAGGCAGCAGUGGGGAAUUUUGCGCAAUGGGGGAAACCCUGACGCAGCAACGCCGCGUGGAGGAUGAAAUCCCUUGGGAUGUAAACUCCUUUCGAUCGGGACGAUUAUGACGGUACCGGAAGAAGAAGCCCCGGCUAACUUCGUGCCAGCAGCCGCGGUAAUACGAGGGGGGCGAGCGUUGUUCGGAAUUAUUGGGCGUAAAGGGUGCGUAGGCGGUUUGAUAAGUCUGAUGUGAAAUCUAUGGGCUCAACCCAUAGCCUGCAUUAGAAACUGUCGGGCUUGAGUAUGGGAGAGGUGAGUGGAAUUUCCGGUGUAGCGGUGAAAUGCGUAGAUAUCGGAAGGAACACCUGUGGCGAAAGCGGCUCACUGGACCAUUACUGACGCUGAUGCACGAAAGCUAGGGGAGCAAACAGGAUUAGAUACCCUAGUAGUCC
RNAcentral lists this ribosomal RNA (756 nucleotides) under uncultured bacterium. RNAcentral describes it as "bacterial SSU rRNA". It matches the Rfam family "Bacterial small subunit ribosomal RNA", at positions 8 to 796 of the family's 1533-position model. The record is from RNAcentral.